Molecule: long non-coding RNA, 800 nt
Organism: Helianthus annuus (common sunflower)
Lineage: Eukaryota; Viridiplantae; Streptophyta; Magnoliopsida; Asterales; Asteraceae
Exons: 3
Source: RefSeq, a predicted model, not a curated record
CCUUCACUGUAUAUGCAGCCACACGUUCAUGUCACCUCCUAUUCCCUUUCAAGUCUGCUAAUCCAAGGAACACUCACAACACAAACAUGAGGACCCUUAUCUUUUCAUCCCUGUAACUCUUAAAUGUUACCACAGACACCAAAUCCCACCUCUCCUCCACCUCGAUCACUGAUCGGCGACCACAAGGAAGGCCGGCGAUGGUAGCCGACACCCCACUCCUCCGACAGCACUCACCCCGCUUCACAGUCCCCCUCAUCCGAUGAACAUCAGUGGCAGUGGCGGUGUGAUUCUCAGCAGCGACGAAGAUGGUGUCGAGUGGCGGUUCAAGCAGGAGAAAGGGAGCGGCGUCGCCGCUCACGGCGGCGGUAGUGGAGGCGACGACGGUGGUGCCCGUUGUCUCGAGUUCGGUUCUCCGUCAAACACUCGACAAAGCUCCGUGACGAUGAUGAUGUUUGAUGGACGGUGGUUGUGGCCCGAGUGACAAACCUCCGCCGCCAAUCGGCGACCGGAGACACCACUUCAGUGGUGACGCGGUGGUGAUGGUUCAGCGUGGUGCGACAUCGGCAAUGGUGGUGGACAAUAUUUUUGGAUCGAGUUUUGUUUGGGUCAGCUUAGUUCUGUUUCAGGUCUUGAGCUUCGGUUCCGGUCAUCAUCAGUCUUGUUGUUCUCGAUUUGUAUUCGGGUGACAUCGGUGUUCCAUCAUCCUAACCUCACACUCGUCGACACUUGGAUAAUCGGAAGACUUAGCAAUUUUGUGAGUAUACUCGAUCCCUUUUUCCCCUUUUCACUUUGGGAUGCAA